RNAcentral lists this ribosomal RNA (986 nucleotides) under Triticum aestivum (bread wheat). RNAcentral describes it as "partial small subunit ribosomal RNA". The record is from RNAcentral. Lineage: Eukaryota; Viridiplantae; Streptophyta; Magnoliopsida; Poales; Poaceae.
CGGGUGCCCACCAAGAUGAUUAAGUGGGAUGGGCUUAAUUAGUCCCACUUAUGCCCACUCCCACCUGCAGCCUGACUCGGAGACGUCAGCCAGGUUCUACUUUCCGUUCCGGUAAAUCACGGGUCAGAUCUCAGAUCGCUCCUUGGUCGGCACGAGUUGGUGACUCCCGAGGUGAACCAACGUAAGUACCCUGUAACCACUGACCUCAUGGGCCCGCGAGGGAGCCGGCCCCUUGUGCAGCCGUGCUUUCCGAUGGAGGUCACGUCCAGCUGACAUAAGGCCUGCUGCUCUCUCUCUUUCCCCGUUUUCUUAUCCUCUGCCUCACGCCAUCUACAAUCCCAGAUCGCUGAAGAUUCGCCCAGCUAGCCGGCGGUGGGCAGGCCCUCGUCUGCAGAUCGAGCAGAGGUGCAAGCGGCAGCCCUUUGCCCUGCUCUUUCAUGUUGUUCAUCUUUCAACAUCUCCGGAUUUCUCUCCGUCCGGGCAGCAGGCGCGGCGAUCAAUGGACGACUAUCAAGGAUCUACUCAUGCUGCUACCGGCGUCGUGGCAAGAAUAUCUGAUGGUGAGUUUGUGCUAGCUGCUGCAAGGGGAUACGACAAUAUUCAAAAUCCCCUGACAGCUGAAACACUCGCUUUUAGAGAUGCAAUUACUGAAGCAGUCAAAGAAGGAUGGCAGCAUGUCCAUUUUGAAACAGCUUGUCAAAUAGGUAGUGGAGAAGCUAAGGAAAAUGCUAGUAACUUAGUUCCCCUUAAAGGCGACUGGUAUUGUUUGGUUGUUCCUUCACCAUAUGAUGCUUGAUUUGUAUAACUUGAUUCUGUUUUACCAUAGCAUAAAGUACCAGGCCUAUGACAUACUUUCCUCUUUCUCAACUUUAAUCUUUCUGAUGUCCAUUUUUUAACAAAAUCCAUUGAGUCAUUGUAUAAAUAAACUGGCUUGAUAACUUAUUUAUAGAGACAAACGCUUGCCACGGGCGUUCUUUUGUUCAGGG